This 441-nucleotide ribosomal RNA is filed under the name uncultured bacterium. Its description in RNAcentral is "partial 16S ribosomal RNA". It matches the Rfam family "Bacterial small subunit ribosomal RNA", at positions 338 to 795 of the family's 1533-position model. The record is from RNAcentral.
CCUACGGGUGGCAGCAGUGGGGAAUAUUGCACAAUGGGGGAAACCCUGAUGCAGCGACGCCGCGUGGGUGACGAAGUACUUCGGUAUGUAAAGUCCUAUUAGUAGGGAAGAAGAUGACAGUACCUGACUAAGAAGCCACGGCUAACUACGUGCCAGCAGCCGCGGUAAUACGUAGGGGGCAAGCGUUAUCCGGAUUUACUGGGUGUAAAGGGAGCGUAGGUGGCAUGGCAAGCCAGAAGUGAAAACCCGGGGCACAACCCCGCGGAUUGCUUUUGAAACUGUCAAGCUGGAGUGCGGGAGGGGCAGGCGGAAUUCCUGGUGUAGCGGUGAAAUGCGUAGAUAUCAGGAGGAACACCAGUGGCGAAGGCGGCCUACUGGACUGUAACUGACACUGAGGCUCGAAAGCGUGGGGAGCAAACAGGAUUAGAUACCCCUGUAGUC